GCCUGAUGCGUCUGUUGAUCCUUUCUGAACAUUCUCUCGGUAUUCCUCCUUCGAUAACUCUCAAUCCCGGCACACAACCUGUAGCAGGUAAGUUCAGCAACCCGAUUCUCCUUGCUCCAAGUUGAUAGAGUUGCUGUUAAUUUCCAUACCGGCCGGAAUGUUCUUUCGUGUUAGAAUCACAUAUAUAUAUAGGUGUGCGAAUCUUUGAAAACAAGCAUGUUUUUUUUUAUAUGAGCAACAUGAACAAACCUGAUGGAAAUGCAGGGCGUAACGGAUGAGUAGAUCGGUGUGCGAAUCUUCGUCAUAGGAAGCACCGGGGAUAGGGUUUGUGAUGUCGUUGCUUCCUAGGAAAGUCAUGUAUGCACUUUCUGAUAUGAUGGAUCUUGUUCUUUCUUCACCAACAC
RNAcentral lists this long non-coding RNA (404 nucleotides) under Linum usitatissimum (flax). Its description in RNAcentral is "long non-coding RNA (LUSI_LNC006021)". The record is from RNAcentral. Lineage: Eukaryota; Viridiplantae; Streptophyta; Magnoliopsida; Malpighiales; Linaceae.